This 550-nucleotide ribosomal RNA is filed under the name Planococcus sp. 45-18. Its description in RNAcentral is "SSU rRNA". It matches the Rfam family "Bacterial small subunit ribosomal RNA", at positions 75 to 610 of the family's 1533-position model. Lineage: Bacteria; Bacillati; Bacillota; Bacilli; Caryophanales; Caryophanaceae. The record is from RNAcentral.
GGAGCUUGCUCCACUUGGUUUAGCGGCGGACGGGUGAGUAACACGUGGGCAACCUGCCCUGCAGAUCGGGAUAACUCCGGGAAACCGGUGCUAAUACCGAAUAGUUUGCGGCCUCUCCUGAGGCUGCACGGAAAGACGGUUUCGGCUGUCACUGCAGGAUGGGCCCGCGGCGCAUUAGCUAGUUGGUGGGGUAAUGGCCCACCAAGGCGACGAUGCGUAGCCGACCUGAGAGGGUGAUCGGCCACACUGGGACUGAGACACGGCCCAGACUCCUACGGGAGGCAGCAGUAGGGAAUCUUCCGCAAUGGACGAAAGUCUGACGGAGCAACGCCGCGUGAGUGACGAAGGUUUUCGGAUCGUAAAACUCUGUUGUGAGGGAAGAACACGUGCCAAGUAACUACUGGCAUUUUGACGGUACCUCACCAGAAAGCCACGGCUAACUACGUGCCAGCAGCCGCGGUAAUACGUAGGUGGCAAGCGUUGUCCGGAAUUAUUGGGCGUAAAGCGCGCGCAGGCGGUCCUUUAAGUCUGAUGUGAAAGCCCACGGCUC